This is a long non-coding RNA of Gossypium arboreum, 362 nucleotides long. RefSeq lists it as uncharacterized. The record is from RefSeq and is a predicted model, not a curated record. The transcript is spliced from 3 exons. Lineage: Eukaryota; Viridiplantae; Streptophyta; Magnoliopsida; Malvales; Malvaceae.
GUUUUAUUAAAAGAAAAAGGGGUGAAAAGAACAAAGUUUUGUCCAUCUUUGUUCAUCAUAGCUGAAAGUUAGAAAAGAGAAAGGAGAGGAGAAAACUCUUGAGUAUUUGGUCAUUAGGAGGAGGAAAAUUGAAGGCGGUUCGUGUGUGGAUCUCAUCAACAUAUCGUCGCAAACAGGUGAGUCUUGAUGUGGGUGACUUGGAGCCGAGGAUUCAGAGUGGCCAUUGUGAACACUUUUGGGUUUGAAAAAGAGACUGGUUUUCUUAAGUUAUUUUUAAUUACUAUUUAAGUUUUGGGUUGUAAUAAGGCCAUUUUAACUUUAUUUUCUUCUUUGAUUUUCCGAGAUUAUAUUAUUUUAAACAA